UACGUAGGGCGCAAGCGUUAUCCGGAAUUAUUGGGCGUAAAGAGCUCGUAGGCGGUUUGUCGCGUCGGCUGUGAAAUCCCGAGGCUCAACCUCGGGUCUGCAGUCGAUACGGGCGGACUGGAGUUCGGCAGGGGAGACUGGAAUUCCUGGUGUAGCGGUGAAAUGCGCAGAUAUCAGGAGGAACACCGGUGGCGAAGGCGGGUCUCUGGGCCGAUACUGACGCUGAGGAGCGAAAGCGUGGGGAGCGAACAGG
RNAcentral lists this ribosomal RNA (253 nucleotides) under uncultured bacterium. RNAcentral describes it as "partial 16S ribosomal RNA". It matches the Rfam family "Bacterial small subunit ribosomal RNA", at positions 524 to 776 of the family's 1533-position model. The record is from RNAcentral.